UACGUAGGUGGCAAGCGUUGUCCGGAAUUAUUGGGCGUAAAGCGUGCGCAGGCGGUCCUUUAAGUCUGAUGUGAAAGCCCACGGCUCAACCGUGGAGGGUCAUUGGAAACUGGAGGACUUGAGUACAGAAGAGGAAAGCGGAAUUCCACGUGUAGCGGUGAAAUGCGUAGAGAUGUGGAGGAACACCAGUGGCGAAGGCGGCUUUCUGGUCUGUAACUGACGCUGAGGCGCGAAAGCGUGGGGAGCAAACAGG
RNAcentral lists this ribosomal RNA (253 nucleotides) under uncultured bacterium. RNAcentral's name for it is "partial 16S ribosomal RNA". It matches the Rfam family "Bacterial small subunit ribosomal RNA", at positions 524 to 776 of the family's 1533-position model. The record is from RNAcentral.